CAGUAGCCGCGGGAACACGAAGGGUGCAAGCGUUAAUCGGAAUUACUGGGCGUAAAGCGUGCGUAGGCGGUUUGUUAAGUCUGCUGUGAAAUCCCCGGGCUCAACCUGGGAAUGGCAGUGGAUACUGGCAAGCUAGAGUGUGUCAGAGGAUGGUGGAAUUCCCGGUGUAGCGGUGAAAUGCGUAGAGAUCGGGAGGAACAUCAGUGGCGAAGGCGGCCAUCUGGGACAACACUGACGCUGAGGCACGAAAGCGUGGGGAGCAAACAGGAUUAGAUACCCCGGUAGUCCCUGUCUCUUAUAC
This 301-nucleotide ribosomal RNA is filed under the name uncultured bacterium. RNAcentral describes it as "partial 16S ribosomal RNA". It matches the Rfam family "Bacterial small subunit ribosomal RNA", at positions 509 to 807 of the family's 1533-position model. The record is from RNAcentral.